UUAAGUAUGUAGAUAAAGAUGUUUGGAAGGAUAUAUACCAAAACCUUAACCAUAGUUUUGAGGGGCUAGAUUAUGUGAAACUUACACUUUUCAAAAUAUUUAUUUUGCAGUGUUUGGAAAUAUUACACAACAUGUGAAUUUUUAAAACUAGAAGAAAAUAAUAAAGAUAUAAUUCAUUUCCCUAAUGGACUGACCUGUGUUUAUCCUUCACAGUGUCACAUCUCUGGCACUGCCAUCAAGGGUGGUACUUUGUGGGGUGUGACUCUUCUCUUUGAGGCAUACCUUGGAGAUAUUGCGGGUUUGGUUCUGAGCCACUGCAGUACAGUGAAUAUUGCAGGAAGACACAGGCAGUUCUGCGACAAGCCUGGCUUGAAAACAUCCGUCCAGUUUUAGUGAUUAAUAAGAUAGAUCACUUGAUAGUGGAACUGAAAUUCACCCCACAGGAGGCCUAUUCUCACCUCAAGAAUAUUUUAGGACAGUUUAAUGCACUCACAGGAACUCUUUUUACUUCAAAAGUGCUAGAGGAAAGAGCAGAGAGAGAGAAAUUGAACCCCAAGCGAAUCCAGAUUCUGAACAAGGAGAGCAAGCAUAUGACUGGAGCACUGGCCUGGAGGACACAGAUGAUUCUCACCUUUACUUCUCUCCAGACCAGGCGGCGGCCACAUGGCCUUUGAUUUCUCUUGGUCUGAAACUAUUUGCUCGCUUUGGAGUCUGUGAAGUCUUAAAACGUUCUGAGACAACACUGAGAUCGUGGUUACAAAUUAUCGAAGCCAAUUAUCAUGCUCCUAACGCCUACCACAACUCUACACAUGCUGCCGAUGUGCUUCGCGCCACUGCCUGUUUUCUCUGCCAAGAGAGGAUAAAGGAAACUGAUAAAGAUCAAGAAGCCAUAAACACUAUGCUCAGGACUCCAGAGAACUGCACUCUGGUCAAAUGAAUGCUGAUUAAGUGUGCUGAUGUGUCCAAUCCCUGCCGACCCCUGGAGCAGUGCAUUGAGCAGGUCGCACGUAUCUCAGAAAACUAUUUCUCUCAGGAAGGUCACCAUCUCUGCUUCACCAACACUGGGGUUGCCUCUCCCACCAGAUGAUUACCUUCUAUCUACCAGUGAUGCUCCAGCAAUGGACAGGUGACCCUGUUCUGCCGAACAUGCCACAAAGAGAAGUCUACAAGGAUGAUUCUGAAUCAAGUACUCACUCCCACCAAAGAGCCACAGGGAAAGACCAUCUCCCCUCUCUCUCUCUCUCCCUCUCUCUCUCGAGGUGGGUUGGGUCUGGAUGUGACACCUGGGACUGCUGCAGCCAUAUUGCUACCAGUCCAAGGAUGAAGCCACCUCCAACAGUGACAGAGUUGAAGGAUGGAAGAAAUCUGGGUCAGUGGUAUCGACCAGCUCCUGAAUCCUCAAAACUCUAGACUU
Molecule: long non-coding RNA, 1414 nt
Organism: Hippopotamus amphibius kiboko
Lineage: Eukaryota; Metazoa; Chordata; Mammalia; Artiodactyla; Hippopotamidae
Exons: 6
Source: RefSeq, a predicted model, not a curated record